This 600-nucleotide ribosomal RNA is filed under the name uncultured bacterium. RNAcentral describes it as "bacterial SSU rRNA". It matches the Rfam family "Bacterial small subunit ribosomal RNA", at positions 741 to 1344 of the family's 1533-position model. The record is from RNAcentral.
UGACGCUGAGGCACGAAAGCGUGGGGAUCAAACAGGAUUAGAUACCCUGGUAGUCCACGCAGUAAACGAUGAUGGCUAACCGCUGGGUAAUACUAUUCAGUGGCCAAGCGAAAGCGAUAAGCCAUCCACCUGGGGAGUACGACCGCAAGGUUGAAACUCAAAGGAAUUGACGGGGGCCCGCACAAGCGGAGGAACAUGUGGUUUAAUUCGAUGAUACGCGAGGAACCUUACCCGGGCUCGAACGGCUGGCGAAGAGAUCCAGAGAUGGUGACGUCCUUCGGGACGCCAGUCGAGGUGCUGCAUGGUUGUCGUCAGCUCGUGCCGUGAGGUGUCGGCUCAAGUGCCAUAACGAGCGCAACCCUUGCCGUCAGUUACCAUCAAGUAGUGUUGGGGACUCUGGCGGGACUGCCACCGCAAGGUGUGAGGAAGGGGGGGAUGACGUCAAAUCAGCACGGCCCUUACGUCCGGGGCGACACACGUGUUACAAUGGCGGCCACAGAGGGGCACUACCUGGUGACAGGAUGGGAAUCUCGAAAAGCCGUCUCAGUCCGGAUCGGAGUCUGCAACCCGACUCCGUGAAGCUGGAUUCGCUAGUAAUCG